Molecule: ribosomal RNA, 374 nt
Filed under: uncultured bacterium
Lineage: Bacteria
Description: bacterial SSU rRNA
Rfam family: Bacterial small subunit ribosomal RNA
Source: RNAcentral
AUACGUAGGGGGCAAGCGUUAUCCGGAAUUACUGGGCGUAAAGCGUGCGUAGGCGGCCAUGCAAGCUUGGGGUCUAAGGCUGCGGCUUAACCGCGGCAUGCCCUAAGAACUGUAUGGCUUGAGUGCAGGAGAGGAGAGUGGAAUUCCUAGUGUAGCGGUGAAAUGCGUAGAGAUUAGGAGGAACACCAGUGGCGAAGGCGACUCUCUGGACUGCAACUGACGCUCAGGCACGAAAGCGUGGGUAGCGAACAGGAUUAGAUACCCUGGUAGUCCACGCCGUAAACGAUGAGUGCUAGGUGUCGGAGGGGUCACCCUUCGGUGCCGCAGCUAACGCAUUAAGCACUCCGCCUGUGGAGUACGGUCGCAAGACUGAA